Molecule: transfer RNA, 67 nt
Filed under: Hemigrapsus takanoi
Lineage: Eukaryota; Metazoa; Arthropoda; Malacostraca; Decapoda; Varunidae
Description: tRNA-Thr
Rfam family: tRNA
About the family: Transfer RNA (tRNA) molecules are approximately 80 nucleotides in length. Their secondary structure includes four short double-helical elements and three loops (D, anti-codon, and T loops). Further hydrogen bonds mediate the characteristic L-shaped molecular structure. tRNAs have two regions of fundamental functional importance: the anti-codon, which is responsible for specific mRNA codon recognition, and the 3' end, to which the tRNAs corresponding amino acid is attached (by aminoacyl-tRNA synthetases). tRNAs cope with the degeneracy of the genetic code in two manners: having more than one tRNA (with a specific anti-codon) for a particular amino acid; and 'wobble' base-pairing, i.e. permitting non-standard base-pairing at the 3rd anti-codon position.
Source: RNAcentral
GUUUUUAUAGUUUAUACCUACAAAACAUUGGUCUUGUAAACCAAAGAUGAAUUGAUUUCUAGAAACU